This 1534-nucleotide ribosomal RNA is filed under the name uncultured prokaryote. Its description in RNAcentral is "partial 16S ribosomal RNA". It matches the Rfam family "Bacterial small subunit ribosomal RNA". The record is from RNAcentral.
GAGUUUGAUCCUGGCUCAGAUUGAACGCUGGCGGCAGGCCUAACACAUGCAAGUCGGACGGUAACGGGAAGAAGCUUGCUUCUUUGCCGACGAGUGGCGGACGGGUGAGUAAUACAUAGGAAUAUGCCUUUGUGUGGGGGAUAACUAUUGGAAACGAUAGCUAAUACCGCAUAACGUCUUCGGACGGACCAAAGGGGGCUUUCGGGCUCCCGCGCAAAGAUUAGCCCAAGUGAGAUUAGCUUGUUGGUGAGGUAAAGGCUCACCAAGGCGACGAUCUCUAGCUGGUCUGAGAGGAUGAUCAGCCACACUGGAACUGAGACACGGUCCAGACUCCUACGGGAGGCAGCAGUGGGGAAUAUUGCACAAUGGGCGCAAGCCUGAUGCAGCCAUGCCGCGUGUGUGAAGAAGGCCUUAGGGUUGUAAAGCACUUUCAGUAGGGAGGAACAGGAUGAGAUUAAUACUCUCGUCCACUGACGUUACCUACAGAAGAAGCACCGGCUAACUCCGUGCCAGCAGCCGCGGUAAUACGGAGGGUGCAAGCGUUAAUCGGAAUUACUGGGCGUAAAGCGUACGCAGGCGGUUGAAUAAGUUGGAUGUGAAAGCCCCGGGCUUAACCUGGGAACUGCAUACAAUACUGUUCAACUAGAGUGCAGCAGAGGAAGGUGGAAUUCCAGGUGUAGCGGUGAAAUGCGUAGAUAUCUGGAGGAACACCGGUGGCGAAGGCGACCUGCUGGGCGGACACGGACGCGCAGGUUCGAAAGCGGGGGGAGCAAACAGGAUGAUAUACCCUUGUAGUCCACGCCGUAAACGAUGUCUACUAGCCGUUGGGAGACUUGAUCUCUUAGUGGCGCAGCUAACGCGAUAAGUAGACCGCCUGGGGAGUACGGUCGCAAGAUUAAAACUCAAAUGAAUUGACGGGGGCCCGCACAAGCGGUGGAGCAUGUGGUUUAAUUCGAAGCAACGCGAAGAACCUUACCCGCUCUUGACAUCCACAGAACUUUCCAGAGAUGGAUUGGUGCCUUCGGGAACUGUGAGACAGGUGCUGCAUGGCUGCCGUCAGCUAGUGUUGUGAAAUGUUGGGUUAAGUCCCGUAACGAGCGCAACCCUUGUCCUUAUUUGCCAGCACGUAAUGGUGGGAACUCUAAGGAGACUGCCGGUGACAAACCGGAGGAAGGUGGGGACGACGUCAAGUCAUCAUGGCCCUUACGGGAUGGGCUACACACGUGCUACAAUGGCAAGUACAGAGGGCAGCAAUACCGCGAGGUGGAGCGAAUCCCACAAAGCUUGUCGUAGUCCGGAUCGGAGUCUGCAACUCGACUCCGUGAAGUCGGAAUCGCUAGUAAUCGUAGAUCAGAAUGCUACGGUGAAUACGUUCCCGGGCCUUGUACACACCGCCCGUCACACCAUGGGAGUGGGUUGCAAAAGAAGUGGCUAGUUUAACCUUCGGGAGGACGGUCACCACUUUGUGAUUCAUGACUGGGGUGAAGUCGUAACAAGGUAGCCCUAGGGGAACCUGGGGCUGGAUCACCUCCUU